CCUACGGGAGGCAGCAGUGAGGAAUAUUGGUCAAUUUCCUAUAUUCUUAACCAGCCAAGUCGCGUGCGGGAAGACGGCCCUACGGGUUGUAAACCUCUUUUGUCGGGGAGCAAAGCGAACCACGUGUGGUUCAUUGAGAGUACCCGAAGAAAAAGCAUCGGCUAACUCCGUGCCAGCAGCCGCGGUAAUACGGAGGAUGCGAGCGGUAUCCGGAUUUAUUGGGUUUAAAGGGUGCGCAGGCGGAGGUGCAAGUCAGCGGUCAAAUUGCGGGGCUCAACCCCGUACUGCCGUUGAAACUGCAUCCCUUGAGUGCGCGAGAAGUAUGCGGAAUGCGUGGUGUAGCGGUGAAAUGCAUAGAUAUCACGCAGAACUCCGAUUGCGAAGGCAGCAUACCGGCGCGCAACUGACGCUCAUGCACGAAAGCGUGGGUAUCGAACAGGAUUAGAUACCCGUGUAGUC
RNAcentral lists this ribosomal RNA (459 nucleotides) under uncultured bacterium. RNAcentral's name for it is "partial 16S ribosomal RNA". It matches the Rfam family "Bacterial small subunit ribosomal RNA", at positions 338 to 795 of the family's 1533-position model. The record is from RNAcentral.